Schizosaccharomyces pombe (fission yeast) is the source of this 555-nucleotide non-coding RNA. NCBI's taxonomy places the organism in Eukaryota, Fungi, Ascomycota, Schizosaccharomycetes, Schizosaccharomycetales, Schizosaccharomycetaceae. The record is from the annotation of a GenBank genome assembly.
AUACAUUAAGAAACAAAAAUUAUUGUAGCACUUAUUGCUUUUAAUAUUUGUAAGCCAUUUCAUCUUCAAGACUUUGAGAUAUCAUGGAAUGUGAUACUGAGGUUUUUUGAAGUGUUUAAAGGGUGACUUGUACUUAGAUUUCUUUAGCUUCGUUAUCAGAUUAUCUUUGGUUUUGCGUGUAUAACAGAAGUCACCAAACCAAGUAAACAAUGAUUUGGUUUGCUCAAUUACUAGCAUUUUAAACAGCUUAUCAAUGUCUGGUAAGAAAAACGAGAAGAAAAAACAGUAUUUAGUUAAUAGCGUUUCAUGAUCUCAGCGGACGAUGAUCAUUUUCUUUUUUUAAUCUAUAUUUCGCUAGAGCAUACGUCUGUCCUCCAAUUUUCACUUAAACAAUAUAGAUUUGGCAGUGUUACUAGAAAUACCAUUCUUCAGUGCUUUAUAAUUCUUCAUUUUUUUGAAAUUGAGUUUAUUUACUAAUAUAAUAUGCUUAUCUAACGUACCGCAUAUAAUCUGAAAAAGGCGUGUCUCUCCUUAUACAAUAGCGUGUUAUUCUGG